Molecule: ribosomal RNA, 1408 nt
Filed under: uncultured bacterium
Lineage: Bacteria
Description: bacterial SSU rRNA
Rfam family: Bacterial small subunit ribosomal RNA
Source: RNAcentral
AGAGUUUGAUCCUGGCUCAGGAUGAACGCUAGCGACAGGCUUAACACAUGCAAGUCGAGGGGCAGCGGGGGCGAAGCUUGCUUCGCCUGCCGGCGACCGGCGCACGGGUGAGUAACACGUAUGCGACCUGCCCCCCGCAGGGGGAUAACCGGGAGAAAUCCCGACUAAUACCGCGUAACGCCGCUGGGCUGCAUGGCCCGGCGGCCAAAGGAAGCGAUUCCGGCGGGGGAUGGGCAUGCGGCGCAUUAGCUAGUCGGCGGGGUAACGGCCCACCGAGGCGACGAUGCGUAGGGGUUCUGAGAGGAAGGUCCCCCACACUGGUACUGAGACACGGACCAGACUCCUACGGGAGGCAGCAGUGAGGAAUAUUGGUCAAUGGGCGGGAGCCUGAACCAGCCAAGUCGCGUGAGGGAAGACGGUCCUACGGAUUGUAAACCUCUUUUGCCGGGGAGCAACGGGGUCCUUGCGAGGGCCCGAUGAGAGUACCCGGAGAAAAAGCAUCGGCUAACUCCGUGCCAGCAGCCGCGGUAAUACGGAGGAUGCGAGCGUUAUCCGGAUUUAUUGGGUUUAAAGGGUGCGUAGGCGGACGCUUAAGUCAGCGGUAAAAUUGCGGGGCUCAACCUCGUCGAGCCGUUGAAACUGGGUGCCUUGAGUGGGCGAGAAGUACGCGGAAUGCGUGGUGUAGCGGUGAAAUGCAUAGAUAUCACGCAGAACUCCGAUUGCGAAGGCAGCGUACCGGCGCCCAACUGACGCUGAAGCACGAAGGCGUGGGUAUCGAACAGGAUUAGAUACCCUGGUAGUCCACGCAGUAAACGAUGAAUGCUAGUUGUCCGGGGCGAUUGAGUUCUGGGUGACACAGCGAAAGCGUUAAGCAUUCCACCUGGGGAGUACGCCGGCAACGGUGAAACUCAAAGGAAUUGACGGGGGCCCGCACAAGCGGAGGAACAUGUGGUUUAAUUCGAUGAUACGCGAGGAACCUUACCCGGGCUCAAACGCAGGAGGGAUGUUUUUGAAAGGAGGCAGCCAGCAAUGGUCUCCUGCGAGGUGCUGCUUGGUUGUCGUCAGCUCGUGCCGUGAGGUGUCGGCUUAAGUGCCAUAACGAGCGCAACUCCUACCUACAGUUGCCAUCGCGUGAUGGCGGGCACUCUGUGGGGACUGCCUGCGCAAGCAGUGAGGAAGGCGGGGAUGACGUCAAAUCAGCACGGCCCUUACGUCCGGGGCGACACACGUGUUACAAUGGCAGGUACAGCGGGAAGCCACCCGGCGACGGGGCGCGGAACCCGAAAACCUGUCUCAGUUCGGAUUGGAGUCUGCAACCCGACUCCAUGAAGCUGGAUUCGCUAGUAAUCGCGCAUCAGCCACGGCGCGGUGAAUACGUUCCCGGGCCUUGCACACACCGCCCGUCAAG